Long non-coding RNA from Oncorhynchus tshawytscha (Chinook salmon), 1884 nucleotides. Lineage: Eukaryota; Metazoa; Chordata; Actinopteri; Salmoniformes; Salmonidae. The record is from Ensembl.
AGGAUUCUAGCUUAAAGUAAACCAUUUCUGCCAAGCAGACCUGUUCUUACAUGGCAUUCGAAAAUAUUGUGUGAACAUGUAACAACAAGAAACUGCUGAACUGUUUUAGGAAAAAAUGAUUUAUUUGCUUAUUUACAAGAAUGGUUUGGACAUUUGAUCAAAAUAAGGAACUUUGGUUGGGAAGAGGGAAAGAUUGGGAGUGGUCAAGGUUUCAGUUUCUGGGGACGCUCGGAACAUUGGCUGGGUUUGACCUUGUGUCUGUCCAUUUCUAACAGUUCUACAAUCCAGAGCAAACAAUGAGCGAGGAGAAACAGGGUGGGAAGAAAGGUCACACACAUUGGGUCACUGAUGGAUGGAAAUCUGGGUCACUUUCUGCCCUUGUGAGAGCAAGUAGGCACAGUUGUGUAUCAAGAUGGGGCCUGUAUGCAGUUCCAAGGGAGAUGGGGAGAGGAUGGGAGGCUGCUUUUCAGCCUUGCCUGCCCCAAGGACCCCCAUGUUUGCGACGGCAGGAUCCCAGCAGAGUCUCCAGAGCCAUCUUCACAAAUGCCUGGAAAUUAUUGCUUCUCUCCCUUCGGCUGUCCUGCGAGGGGACGGAACACAGAAAUAGACAGAGGCCAUGCUUCUCACAUAACAAUGGGUAGUGAUAGCCAACUGUAAUUCAUUUGGUCCAGCUCUCUCCAAUCAUUUUGAGAGCAAGGACUGGAUUGAGUUCAUUUAAACUUAGAAAAUGAAACCUUGUACACGAGGCUGUUAAAAAGACCAUGAUCCUCCUACCCUCGGUCCUAGAUUAGUCUAAUGCUUUACCUCCUUGCUUUUUGUUAUCGUCUCCUUUCUGAUCAGCUUUCUUCGGUUGCUCCUUAGGACUCUGAGGUUGCUGUGGAGAUGAAAUGGGGGGAAAUUACAUUUAGAGAAACUCAAACUUGAAUGUUUAACUUACAAUGAAUGAGGACUGUACUGGUUUCUUGUUCUUACCUUGGUAGCUGAUUUCUUGUCAGAUUUGUUACCUGCAAAUGAUGAAAGAAUGUUGAUAUAUUAGUCUUUAGAGUAACUGUCCCCUUCAUGAUGAUCCGGGUAAGAAGAGGGUGCAUUUUCUUUUCAAUUUUGCAAUAACGUUCAUAUAAUCAAGUCAAUUGAUGACUGUAGGGGAGACUUAGGGAAUUUAACACUUUUUAUCUUUUACUUUAUUACUGAGUUCAAUUUAUCUAGAUGGAUAGUCCCAAAUUCAACAUUUAGCUUGAAUAGAAUAAAACACAAAUAUAGCAUUGGCCUAAAUUCACUACAUUACACACUGCCUUGAGAAAAGCCUUUAUAUAUAAUAAUUUAUUUUCUAUAAAAUAAUAAUAAUAUGCUAUAGCCUAAUACAAAUAUAUAGGCUACAUGAAAGCAUAAAAACGACUUUAGAAAUACCUUUUGUUCCGGGCAUUUUGGCUGUGGUCCAAAGUCUGUGUGUUAUUUAGAAAACGCAGUGCUUAUGUGGCGUCCAGAUCGCUCAUUUAUGGCUCCAGCACCUGAAUGCUCCCUUCACCGGGGCCCCUUCGGGAAAGAGCGCAGGGAAAAUGCAAAGAGCCCCGUCAGCCGCUCGAGAGGCACACUGUCCUGCGGGCCUUUGCUGAGCUCAGGCGAAACGUCUGAGCGCGCGACCCAAACUCAUAAUCCCAACAUUGUAUGGACGAUGAGCUGUGCCAUUGUCCUCAAAUUCAACAACAAAUUGUUUUGUCCUAGGCUAUUAUUUUAGGCAUACUGGCCUACAUAGAGAUAAUAGUAUGUACAUGUAUUAUUUAUGUUUCUGCUUUUGAAGCACUUUUAGAUUGUUAUGAAAAGCGCUGAAGUCGAAUAAAAAGCAACCAGAUAAAUUGCUUUGUGUAGAGGUGCUGACUAACGGUG